This 1717-nucleotide ribosomal RNA is filed under the name Klebsiella michiganensis. Its description in RNAcentral is "partial 23S ribosomal RNA". It matches the Rfam family "Bacterial large subunit ribosomal RNA", at positions 1 to 1759 of the family's 2925-position model. Lineage: Bacteria; Pseudomonadati; Pseudomonadota; Gammaproteobacteria; Enterobacterales; Enterobacteriaceae. The record is from RNAcentral.
GGUUAAGCGACUAAGCGUACACGGUGGAUGCCCUGGCAGUCAGAGGCGAUGAAGGACGUGCUAAUCUGCGAAAAGCGUCGGUAAGGUGAUAUGAACCGUUACAGCCGGCGAUGUCCGAAUGGGGAAACCCAGUGCAAUUCGUUGCACUAUCGUUAACUGAAUACAUAGGUUAACGAGGCGAACCGGGGGAACUGAAACAUCUAAGUACCCCGAGGAAAAGAAAUCAACCGAGAUUCCCCCAGUAGCGGCGAGCGAACGGGGAGCAGCCCGGAGUCUGAAUCAGCUUGUGUGUUAGUGGAAGCGUCUGGAAAGUCGCAGGGUACAGGGUGAUACUCCCGUACACUAAAACACACAGGUUGUGAACUCGAAGAGUAGGGCGGGACACGUGGUAUCCUGUCUGAAUAUGGGGGGACCAUCCUCCAAGGCUAAAUACUCCUGACUGACCGAUAGUGAACCAGUACCGUGAGGGAAAGGCGAAAAGAACCCCGGCGAGGGGAGUGAAAAAGAACCUGAAACCGUGUACGUACAAGCAGUAGGAGCCCACUGGUUGGGUGACUGCGUACCUUUUGUAUAAUGGGUCAGCGACUUAUAUUCUGUAGCAAGGUUAACCGUAUAGGGGAGCCGCAGGGAAACCGAGUCUUAACUGGGCGUUAAGUUGCAGGGUAUAGACCCGAAACCCGGUGAUCUAGCCAUGGGCAGGUUGAAGGUUGGGUAACACUAACUGGAGGACCGAACCGACUAAUGUUGAAAAAUUAGCGGAUGACUUGUGGCUGGGGGUGAAAGGCCAAUCAAACCGGGAGAUAGCUGGUUCUCCCCGAAAGCUAUUUAGGUAGCGCCUCGUGAACUCAUCUUCGGGGGUAGAGCACUGUUUCGGCUAGGGGGUCAUCCCGACUUACCAACCCGAUGCAAACUACGAAUACCGAAGAAUGUUAUCACGGGAGACACACGGCGGGUGCUAACGUCCGUCGUGAAGAGGGAAACAACCCAGACCGCCAGCUAAGGUCCCAAAGUCAUGGUUAAGUGGGAAACGAUGUGGGAAGGCCCAGACAGCCAGGAUGUUGGCUUAGAAGCAGCCAUCAUUUAAAGAAAGCGUAAUAGCUCACUGGUCGAGUCGGCCUGCGCGGAAGAUGUAACGGGGCUAAACCAUGCACCGAAGCUGCGGCAGCGACACUAUGUGUUGUUGGGUAGGGGAGCGUUCUGUAAGCCGUUGAAGGUGGCCUGUGAGGGUUGCUGGAGGUAUCAGAAGUGCGAAUGCUGACAUAAGUAACGAUAAUGCGGGUGAAAAACCCGCACGCCGGAAGACCAAGGGUUCCUGUCCAACGUUAAUCGGGGCAGGGUGAGUCGACCCCUAAGGCGAGGCCGAAAGGCGUAGUCGAUGGGAAACAGGUUAAUAUUCCUGUACUCGGUGUUACUGCGAAGGGGGGACGGAGAAGGCUAUGUUGGCCGGGCGACGGUUGUCCCGGUUUAAGCAUGUAGGCGGAUGUUCCAGGUAAAUCCGGAGCGUCACUAACGCUGAGGUGUGAUGACGAGGCACUACGGUGCUGAAGUGACAAAUGCCCUGCUUCCAGGAAAAGCCUCUAAGCAUCAGGUAACAUCAAAUCGUACCCCAAACCGACACAGGUGGUCAGGUAGAGAAUACCAAGGCGCUUGAGAGAACUCGGGUGAAGGAACUAGGCAAAAUGGUGCCGUAACUUCGGGAGAAGGCACGCUGAUGGUA